AGAGUUUGAUCAUGGCUCAGGAUGAACGCUGGCGGCGUGCCUAACACAUGCAAGUCGAACGGGUGUGGUAUCAGGGAAAAGGGGUUUACUUCUUUGACCAGAUAACACACUAGUGGCGGACGGGUGAGUAACGCGUGGAUAACCUGCCUUAUACAGGGGGAUAACAGGGAGAAAUUCUUGCUAAUACCCCAUAGGUAUGUCUGACGCAUGUUGGACAUAUUAAAGCUUUGGCGGUAUAAGAUGGGUCCGCGUCUGAUUAGCUAGUUGGUGGGGUAAAGGCCCACCAAGGCGACGAUCAGUAGCCGGCUUGAGAGAGUGGACGGCCACAUUGGGACUGAGACACGGCCCAAACUCCUACGGGAGGCAGCAGUGGGGAAUAUUGCACAAUGGGGGAAACCCUGAUGCAGCGACGCCGCGUGAAGGAAGAAGGUCUUCGGAUCGUAAACUUCUAUCAGCAGGGAAGAAGGAAGUGACAGUACCUGAGUAAGAAGCCCCGGCUAACUACGUGCCAGCAGCCGCGGUAAUACGUAGGGGGCGAGCGUUAUCCGGAAUUACUGGGUGUAAAGGGUGCGUAGGCGGUAUGGCAAGUCAGUUGUGAAACCCCCUGGCUCAACCAGGGGCUUGCAAUUGAAACUGUCAUACUAGAGUGCAGGAGAGGAAAGCGGAAUUCCUAGUGUAGCGGUGAAAUGCGUAGAUAUUAGGAAGAACACCAGUGGCGAAGGCGGCUUUCUGGACUGUAACAGACGCUGAGGCACGAAAGCGUGGGGAGCGAACAGGAUUAGAUACCCUGGUAGUCCACGCCGUAAACGAUGAGUGCUAGGUGUUGGGGUCUAAUUAGAUCUCGGUGCUGAAGUUAACGCAUUAAGCACUCCACCUGGGGAGUACGAUCGCAAGAUUGAAACUCAAAUGAAUUGACGG
This 918-nucleotide ribosomal RNA is filed under the name uncultured bacterium. RNAcentral describes it as "bacterial SSU rRNA". It matches the Rfam family "Bacterial small subunit ribosomal RNA", at positions 8 to 916 of the family's 1533-position model. The record is from RNAcentral.